GCACAAGCAGCGGAGCAUGUGGUUUAAUUCGAAGCAACGCGAAGAACCUUACCAAGGCUUGACAUCCUACUAAACUCAUGGAAACAUGAGGUGCCUUCGGGCAAGUAGAGACAGGUGGUGCAUGGUUGUCGUCAGCUCGUGUCGUGAGAUGUUGGGUUAAGUCCCGCAACGAGCGCAACCCUUAUUGCUAGUUACCAGCGGGUAAAGCCGGGAACUCUAGUGAGACCGCCGGGGAUAACUCGGAGGAAGGUGGGGACGACGUCAAAUCAUCAUGCCCCUUAUGUCUUGGGCUACACACGUGCUACAAUGGCCACUACAGAGGGCAGCAAGGCCGUAAGGCAGAGCGAAUCUCAGAAAAGUGGUCCCAGUUCGGAUUGUGGGCUGCAACCCGCCCACAUGAAGUCGGAGUUGCUAGUAAUCGCGAAUCAGCAUGUCGCGGUGAAUACGUUCCCGGGCCUUGUACACACCGCCCGUCACACCAUGGGAGUUGGGAGCGCCCGAAGUCGGUAUCCUAACCGUAAGGAGGGAGCCGCCGAAGGUGAAAUCAAUAACUGGGGUG
RNAcentral lists this ribosomal RNA (559 nucleotides) under uncultured bacterium. RNAcentral describes it as "bacterial SSU rRNA". It matches the Rfam family "Bacterial small subunit ribosomal RNA", at positions 923 to 1482 of the family's 1533-position model. The record is from RNAcentral.